UGUACAAUUGAGGCUUCAUUUGUCAAAGAAGACCAAAAUAAGAAGCACAAGCACAGUGAAGGAGGAAAUGAACUGGAAGAAAAAAAGGCCCUUUUCUACUAGCAAGCAGUCACAAUGUUCCCCCAACCUCAUACCCCACCCCCACCCACAUUGGGUGGAAUAGUCCCAAUGAACCGAAGAUUUGAAGGGAGCUGUAAUUUGCCAUCCCUUCUAAAUAACAGCGGGUGGAGCGGUUAAAAACAAAACUAAAAACGGGAAGAUGGGGGGACACCGGCGGGAGGAAGGCGUGUGCAAGAGCACGGGGGUAUUACCUGAAAAGGCAACAGAUUGUUACCAUUAUCGGUCCGGAAAGCGUUAUCCUCCAUCCAGGAUUUGGAGUGAGAGAUGUGCUUAUAAGACAGAAAGACAGCAAUUUCGCCACGUCUCUUUCCCCUUCACCGGAACUCCGAGCGUUCAUCCUGCGAUGAGAAACUGAUUCUGGUUCCUGUUUUUUUCCCAAGCACCACCCUCCCCCAGCUAUUUGCAUACGUCAAUAAAUAGUGCUGCGUCCUUCAGCAAGGUUAAAAAGACGAGAUACACGACCCUCUCUUUUCCCCUUCCCCAGCUGGAGCACUUAAAAAAAAGAGAGAGAGAGAGAGAGAGA
This is a long non-coding RNA of Onychomys torridus (southern grasshopper mouse), 643 nucleotides long. RefSeq lists it as uncharacterized. The transcript is spliced from 2 exons. Lineage: Eukaryota; Metazoa; Chordata; Mammalia; Rodentia; Cricetidae. The record is from RefSeq and is a predicted model, not a curated record.